Molecule: ribosomal RNA, 574 nt
Filed under: Escherichia coli
Lineage: Bacteria; Pseudomonadati; Pseudomonadota; Gammaproteobacteria; Enterobacterales; Enterobacteriaceae
Description: partial 23S ribosomal RNA
Rfam family: Bacterial large subunit ribosomal RNA
Source: RNAcentral
AGGUAUCAGAAGUGCGAAUGCUGACAUAAGUAACGAUAAAGCGGGUGAAAAGCCCGCUCGCCGGAAGACCAAGGGUUCCUGUCCAACGUUAAUCGGGGCAGGGUGAGUCGACCCCUAAGGCGAGGCCGAAAGGCGUAGUCGAUGGGAAACAGGUUAAUAUUCCUGUACUUGGUGUUACUGCGAAGGGGGGACGGAGAAGGCUAUGUUGGCCGGGCGACGGUUGUCCCGGUUUAAGCGUGUAGGCUGGUUUUCCAGGCAAAUCCGGAAAACCAAGGCUGAGGCGUGAUGACGAGGCACUACGGUGCUGAAGCGACAAAUGCCCUGCUUCCAGGAAAAGCCUCUAAGCAUCAGGUAACAUCAAAUCGUACCCCAAACCGACACAGGUGGUCAGGUAGAGAAUACCAAGGCGCUUGAGAGAACUCGGGUGAAGGAACUAGGCAAAAUGGUGCCGUAACUUCGGGAGAAGGCACGCUGAUAUGUAGGUGAAGCGACUUGCUCGUGGAGCUGAAAUCAGUCGAAGAUACCAGCUGGCUGCAACUGUUUAUUAAAAACACAGCACUGUGCAAACACGAAA